UAUUACGAGGGGUGCCAUUUGGCUGAGACGGAAUAGAUCCGGACCCUUUGAACCUGUAAGUUAAUACUUGCGUAGGGACGUUAAAUU
This 87-nucleotide non-coding RNA is filed under the name uncultured Ligilactobacillus sp. Its description in RNAcentral is "TPP riboswitch (THI element)". It matches the Rfam family "TPP riboswitch aptamer (THI element)", at positions 6 to 97 of the family's 105-position model. From Rfam's summary of the family: Vitamin B(1) in its active form thiamin pyrophosphate (TPP) is an essential coenzyme that is synthesised by coupling of pyrimidine and thiazole moieties in bacteria. The previously detected thiamin-regulatory element, thi box was extended, resulting in a new, highly conserved RNA secondary structure, the THI element, which is widely distributed in eubacteria and also occurs in some archaea. Analysis of operon structures identified a large number of new candidate thiamin-regulated genes, mostly transporters, in various prokaryotic organisms. Lineage: Bacteria; Bacillati; Bacillota; Bacilli; Lactobacillales; Lactobacillaceae. The record is from RNAcentral.